This is a long non-coding RNA of Peromyscus maniculatus bairdii (prairie deer mouse), 990 nucleotides long. RefSeq lists it as uncharacterized. The record is from RefSeq and is a predicted model, not a curated record. NCBI's taxonomy places the organism in Eukaryota, Metazoa, Chordata, Mammalia, Rodentia, Cricetidae.
CAGGGCCGGCUGCAGGGGCACAGCCGCCCAGCUCUGAGGUGCUAAGCUGGGAAGAAGGCUCCAGAGCCCAGCCAGCCAGGUGUGGGCACCGGCCACGGGGUGCUCCCCUUCCUGGGUGCAGGGUCAGAUGGAGGAGCGGCAGAACCGGGACCAUCCUGGUGAAAGCUUGUGGUGAAGAUGAGGCUUGGCACUCUCUUUAACCAUGCUGGUGAGUUGCCAGCCAGCUCCCCACCUUGCCAUGGUGCUAUUCAGGUCAUAGUGUCGGUUCUGCAAAGAAGCCAGGCAGAUGUGGGCUGUGACAUCAUGCUUCCCUUUGUUAACUCGUCCCAACCCACGCUUCGUUGCCUGCCCGGAACUCUACCUUCUUUCGGUCUUCAAGCAUGAGGUUGCAGCUGUAAUGUGUGGAAAUGUCAAGUGGCCAAGAUAAAAAAAAAAAAAAAAAAAAAACUUAAACCAAAUGAGAAGUCUCUGGAUCACUUGGGAGUGCUAUCAUUACCCUUAUACCCAUUUUAAAGAUAAGGAAACUGACUCAAGACAAUGGUUCUGGAAUCUGCCCUAAGUUACGAACCUCUGUGACUUUGCCCUGGCAUUACCUGUGCACGGUGCUGCCGGAGGAUGGCCUAUGACACCAUGUGUACCGACAGGGGACAGCAGGAGCCAUUCUGACCGGACUACAGAUUUCCCCUAUCCCCACUUCUGACCCACCAGGUCUGAGUCUUGUUGCUAAGAAAACUGGGGCAGCAAUUUAUUGAGGACUCUAAUGAACCGGUGCUGUGUGUGAACAAUCAUUUUAUUCUUUGUUUUAAAUCACUGUCUAUACUUUUUCAUUUUAAUUUAUGCAAGAAAGGGGCUGAUGGUGUGGCUCGAGGGCAAAGCACUUGCCUGAUUUGCACCAAGUCCUGUUUUCAAUCGUCAGCACCUUGUAUACCCUUACCCCAAUGUAUUGUUUGGAUCUAUACAAAAAAGAAUAAUAUAAAAGAAUAUAAAAUU